This 201-nucleotide long non-coding RNA is filed under the name Capsella rubella. RNAcentral describes it as "long non-coding RNA (CRUB_LNC004038)". The record is from RNAcentral. Lineage: Eukaryota; Viridiplantae; Streptophyta; Magnoliopsida; Brassicales; Brassicaceae.
UUUGCCUCCCGAUCAUUAAUCCAGAGUUACACCAGCUUAAUUUGGUUGGAUAUAUAAUAAAUCAUAAAGAUGAUCAUAAGACAUAUGCAUUAAAAACGGUAUUAUACUAUACUUGAAAUUUUAUGGUGAAAUAUAUUUUUUAAUAGCGAGGAAGCUUUUGGCCUUUUGGGAGAGUGGGUCGUGUAGUAACAUGAGGAGGCC